This 594-nucleotide ribosomal RNA is filed under the name uncultured Dethiobacter sp. RNAcentral's name for it is "bacterial SSU rRNA". It matches the Rfam family "Bacterial small subunit ribosomal RNA", at positions 8 to 526 of the family's 1533-position model. The record is from RNAcentral. Lineage: Bacteria; Bacillati; Bacillota; Dethiobacteria; Dethiobacterales; Dethiobacteraceae.
AGAGUUUGAUCCUGGCUCAGGACGAACGCUGGCGGCGUGCCUAAUACAUGCAAGUCGAACGCUCCUAGAGGUUGGAGAUUAGAGGUUAGAAGCUGGAUUUAAAGCCCGUGUUUCGGGCGGGGGGCUAAAAGGAAAGCCCGAGGUCUAAUUUCCGACUUCCAAUCUCCAACCUCCAGAAGAGAGUGGCGCACGGGUGAGUAACACGUGGGCAAUCUGCCCGGAAGACUGGGAUAACAGCGCGAAAGUGCUGCUAAUACCGGAUACCUUCACGAAGUCGCAUGACUUUGUGCAGAAAGUUUUUCGCUUCCGGAUGAGCCCGCGUCCCAUUAGCUAGUUGGUGAGGUAACGGCCCACCAAGGCGACGAUGGGUAGCUGGUCUGAGAGGACGAUCAGCCACACUGGAACUGAGACACGGUCCAGACUCCUACGGGAGGCAGCAGUGGGGAAUCUUGCGCAAUGGGCGAAAGCCUGACGCAGCAACGCCGCGUGAACGAUGAAGGCCUUCGGGUCGUAAAGUUCUGUCAAGGGGGACGAUAAUGACGGUACCCUUGGAGGAAGCCCCGGCUAACUACGUGCCAGCCGCCGCGGUAAUUC